UAUCUGGUUGAUAGGCUGCAGAUGUAAGCAUGGUGACAUGUUCAGUCGAGCAGUACUAAUAAGUCGUGAGGCUUGACCAU
Molecule: ribosomal RNA, 80 nt
Filed under: Treponema sp.
Lineage: Bacteria; Pseudomonadati; Spirochaetota; Spirochaetia; Treponematales; Treponemataceae
Description: partial 23S ribosomal RNA
Rfam family: Bacterial large subunit ribosomal RNA
Source: RNAcentral